AGUCGACCCCUAAGGCGAGGCCGAAAGGCGUAGUCGAUGGGAAACAGGUUAAUAUUCCUGUACUUGGUGUUACUGCGAAGGGGGGACGGAGAAGGCUAUGUUAGCCGGGCGACGGUUGUCCCGGUUUAAGCAUGUAGGCUGGUUGUCCAGGCAAAUCCGGAUAAUCAAGGCUGAGGUGUGAUGACGAGGCACUACGGUGCUGAAGUAACAAAUGCCCUGCUUCCAGGAAAAGCCUCUAAGCAUCAGGUAACAUCAAAUCGUACCCCAAACCGACACAGGUGGUCAGGUA
This 289-nucleotide ribosomal RNA is filed under the name Klebsiella quasipneumoniae subsp. similipneumoniae. Its description in RNAcentral is "partial 23S ribosomal RNA". It matches the Rfam family "Bacterial large subunit ribosomal RNA", at positions 1382 to 1673 of the family's 2925-position model. Lineage: Bacteria; Pseudomonadati; Pseudomonadota; Gammaproteobacteria; Enterobacterales; Enterobacteriaceae. The record is from RNAcentral.